Molecule: ribosomal RNA, 1281 nt
Filed under: Triticum aestivum (bread wheat)
Lineage: Eukaryota; Viridiplantae; Streptophyta; Magnoliopsida; Poales; Poaceae
Description: partial small subunit ribosomal RNA
Source: RNAcentral
AUGCCUCUCCGCCGCCGCCUCCUAGGCCUGUCCGCCGGCCUCCGCCGCUCGCUCGCCACAGCCGCCACGCAUCCCCCGUGGGCCAUGAUCAACCGCACGGCGGAGUUCGUCGGAGCGGCGAGCGCGGACGUGCGCCUCGCCUCGCCACCGCUCGUCUCCGAGCUAUGCGUCCCGGAGCGCCUCGUCAAGACCAGGGGCAGCCCCGGCCCCGGCAGCGACGUCGUUCAGUCGCUCGCCGGCGGCGUCUCCGCCGCGAGCGGCGACGGCCUCCUCCUCCUCUCCUGCCUAGACCUGCGCUUCGUCGCCCCCGGCGCCGCUCGGGUGCGCCAGCAUCUCUACGGCCUCGACCCCACCCACGUCCCCAGCGUCACGCGCUUCGUCUGCAACCCUCUCACCCGCGAGCUACGCCGCCUCCCGGACUCCGGCUCCGACCCUGAGGCCGACGUCCUGUGCGACCCCAACAUGGGCCUCCUCACCCAAGCCGAUCGCGGGCACGGGCCGCCUGGCAAGUUCGCCGUCGCCGACCUGCAGGAGGGGAACCACAUGCUCCGGUUUCUCUCGGAAACAGGCAAGUGGGAGAACGUCGCGCUCUCGCCGUGCCAGGUCCCAUUUGCGCGGCGAAUGGACAUAGACCAGGAGGCGCUGGCAUUCGGCGGCCGCCUGUGGUGGGUCGACUUGGCCUGGGGCGCAAUCUCUGCCGACCCGUUCAGCGACCGGCCGGAGCUCUCCUUCGUCGAGCUGCCGAGGGGCAGCGUGCUGCCGGCUGGCGUGCAGGACGAAGCGUUUCGCCGAGGAAGCCCGCUGCGUGACGCUCAGGGCAGGGUGUGGUGGGAGCAGGCGCCCGUCAGUUACCGGCGCAUGGGUGUCAGCCAAGGGCGGCUGCGGUACGUGGAGGUCUCUCAAGGGGAGCCGUUCUUUCUCAGCUCCUUCGUGCUCGACGACGAAGGCAGGGGCUGGACGCUGGAGCGCCGAGUGGUGCUCAACAAGCUGUGGGGGAGCACCAUGGGACUACCUUUACAGGAGAGGGGGUCGACACGCAUUGUCCUUGUUGACCCGCUUAAUGCCAAUGUCGUUUACCUCACGGCACACAGAAUUGCCGUCGUCGCCGUGGACAUGGACAGGCAGGAGGUGAUCGGAUGUUAUCCCUAUAGAAGCGACCUCUGUCUGCCAUGUGUCCUUCCACCGUGGCUUCGAUCGAGCCGGAUCCCUUCUGCAGGCAAGAAGUAUGUUGAGAAAAACAAGACUCUGGCAGAUGUUCUAGUUCGUUCACCCAGUCACUAG